This is an RNA transcript of Acanthopagrus latus (yellowfin seabream), 2457 nucleotides long. It is a transcript of the gene named homeodomain-interacting protein kinase 2-like, with no coding region annotated. The record is from RefSeq and is a predicted model, not a curated record. NCBI's taxonomy places the organism in Eukaryota, Metazoa, Chordata, Actinopteri, Spariformes, Sparidae. The transcript has 12 exons.
UGGCAUUGCCUUGAAACCAUGUUGUUAAGAACUGAACUUAUUCCUUUCAUCGUGGAAUGUUUCAGAGCUAGUUCCAACUCAAUAGGCACUUAACCACCCUCAAGUAGUAGUAGUGGUAGCAGCAGCAGUAGUAGUAGUGUUAGUAGUCUCAACGAAUACGUCUUUGAAGUGAUGCAGAGAAGUCAGUCGUGUUCAGCGAUCACCAUGCAGCCUUCUGGGAGCAAAAUGGACAGCAAUGAAAUCAGUUCACCUUUGCAGACGAACCCCUACGGAAUCCCCGCCAGAUAUAAAAUCCGGGAGGUUGUGGGAGAGGGUUGCUUCGGAAAGGUGGUGAGAUGUUUGGAUAAGGAAACCAAGCAGACUGUGGCUAUAAAGAUUCCUAAAUACUUGGACAGCUCUUCUAAGAAAGAGGUCGCCAUGCUGAAACGUCUCAGGGACCUCAACCUUGACAAACACAACAUUGUCAAGUUUAUUGAUAGCUGGCAGUCCCCUUCUGGAGAUGUGGUUGUGUUGGAGGCGUUAGAUAUAUGCCUAGAUGACUACAUUAAGAAGAGAAGACAGAUGCCAAUGCUUCUGAGUGACAUCAGAGGCAUCGUCCAACAGUUGGCCACAGCACUUGAUGCUCUGAAAGGGAUCGGGGUGAUCCACACUGAUGUUAAACUCCAGAACAUAAUGAUGGAGAAUCAUCGCACGCGACCUUUCAAAGUCAAACUGAUAGACUUCGGCUUGGCCAUUCCCACAUCAGAAGCCAGACAGGGCAUGCAUCUGCAGCCACUCUCUUUAAGGUCUCCGGAAAUUAUUUUGGGCUGUCCAUUUUCUGAGGCCAUUGAUAUGUGGUCCCUGGGCUGUGUGAUGACCAAGAUGAUCUGUGGCUAUCUACCAUUCUCAGGAGGAUCUGAGUUUGAACUACUAAGGGCCUGUAUUGAUGUCCUGGGUCAGCCAGCGGACCAUGUUUAUAAUGGUGGUCGAAUGACAAAAGUUUUCUGCACAAGGACCAACUCCAACACUUGGAGGCUCAAGACACAUUUGGAAUACAGGGGAUUUAAGAUGAACAAAUUCCACAGGUUCCAAACUCUGGAUGAUCUGAAAACAAUGCGUGAGGAGGAGAAGAACAAAGAUGAGGCUGUAGAGCGAGAGCAGUGUAUCGAGCUCCUGAAGGCCAUGUUGACCAUUGAUCCGAAUGAGAGGAUCACUCCCUCAGAAGUCCUCGCUCAUCCAUUCAUCACCAGAGACUACCCGAGAUCGCAGGUGAACGUCAGUGAGUGGUCAAGUGUUGAAGACUUGGCUUCUUCAACUGACGAGUCGGUCAGCUACAGUCCACCUCCCACAGUUCUACCAUCAGGUGUGAUCAUGGUUAAGGCUGCCCCGCCUGAGAACACACAGCUGCUGGAUGAACAGCCUUCCAUAUGUGAAGACCCAACCACAUGUGACAUCGGGACAAAGAAGAAGAGGAAGAAGAAGAACAUCUUCCGAUGCAUCACGUCUUGGAUGAAGAAGAAGUUCAGCUGCUGUGUUGGCUGUGUUGAUGAGGAUCAGGAAUGUGUGAAGUGAAUUUUUCCCGUGUUUGUAUGGUUUACUCCGGGUGCUCCGGUUUCCCAAUUUACUAUAGUGUAGUAUUUUUUAAAAGCCUCUGUGUGUGUGCGUGUGUGUGUGUGCGCGCCGUGCGGGUGUGUGUGUAUGUGUGUGUGUGUGUGUGUGUGUGUGUGUGUGUGUGUGUGUGUGUGUGUGUACGUGCGUGAAUUAAUGUCUGGGCUAACGCAGUCAACACAUCAAGAAAUUUAGGCAUCACUUCUUCAAAUGAGGACUUUCAGUGUGCCAUUCCUCUGAAGGAUCAAGACAGCACUAACAUUCAGCCAGAACACACUGCGGCUGGAAGAUCAGGAGAGCACAGUUAGUCCAGGCUGAACAAGAUGUCAGAGUCCUCAGUGAGCAACACUGAAAGAAACACAAAGUCUGCGAUAUGUGAGGACCCGUCCACAUCUGAAGAAGAGGAAGAAGAAGAAGAACUGCUUCCAGUCUUCUCUUGGGUGAAGAGAGACCUUUGGAUGCUGUGUUUCCUUCACUGUUAGUCACGUCUCCUCACCACACGUCCAGCGACUUAGCUGGAAACAUUGGUAGGGCGGCUUUAGCGGCAAUACAGAGUUUUAGGAAUACAUUUGCAAUGACAGCAGCAGUUACAGCCAUAGCUACAGCAUCCGCCACAGACUUACUGAGUGUUUUGGUGGUGCUAAGUCGCUGGAUAUGCUGGCAGGCAACAUGAAAGCCCAGUGAGGAGACGUGACUGACAGUGCAGCACAAUCACUCCGUCUGACUACCUGAAGAAGACCUAAGAAUCCACCUAGAUUUAAUAUUUAGCAUUUAGAUUUGACAUUGAGAUUUAACAUUUCAAGUGUUUUUUUGGCCUUUUCUGGCUUUAUUGAUAGUAUAGCUGAAGGUGUGACAGGAAACGGGGUAAGA